RNAcentral lists this ribosomal RNA (279 nucleotides) under uncultured bacterium. Its description in RNAcentral is "partial 16S ribosomal RNA". It matches the Rfam family "Bacterial small subunit ribosomal RNA", at positions 506 to 784 of the family's 1533-position model. The record is from RNAcentral.
UGCCAGCAGCCGCGGUAAUACGGAGGGUGCAAGCGUUGUUCGGAUUUACUGGGCGUAAAGAGCGCGUAGGCGGCUUCAUAAGUUAAGGGUGAAAUCCCGGGGCUUAACUCCGGAACUGCUCUUAAAACUGUGGAGCUAGAGACAAUCAGAGGUGGGUGGAAUUCCAGGUGUAGAGGUGAAGUCCGUAGAUAUCGGGAGGAACACCAGUGGCGAAGGCGGCCACCUGGACGGUGACUGACGCUGAGACUCGAAAGUGUGGGUAGCAAACAGGAUUAGAUA